Molecule: non-coding RNA, 30 nt
Filed under: Trypanosoma brucei brucei
Lineage: Eukaryota; Euglenozoa; Kinetoplastea; Trypanosomatida; Trypanosomatidae
Source: RNAcentral
AAGGGAUGUAAUAUCCCGUAACUCGUAUAU